UACGGAGGAUGCGAGCGUUAUCCGGAUUUAUUGGGCGUAAAGCGAGUGCAGGCGGUUCAAUAAGUCUGAUGUGAAAGCCUUCGGCUCAAACGGAGAAUUGCAUCAGAAACUGUUGAACUUGAGUGCAGAAGAGGAGAGUGGAACUCCAUGUGUAGCGGUGGAAUGCGUAGAUAUAUGGAAGAACACCAGUGGCGAAGGCGGCCGCCUGGACUGAAACUGACGCUCAGGCACGAAAGCGUGGGGAGCAAAUAGG
Molecule: ribosomal RNA, 253 nt
Filed under: uncultured Lactobacillus sp.
Lineage: Bacteria; Bacillati; Bacillota; Bacilli; Lactobacillales; Lactobacillaceae
Description: partial 16S ribosomal RNA
Rfam family: Bacterial small subunit ribosomal RNA
Source: RNAcentral